CUGGGAAGUCCUCGUGUUGCAUUCCUUUUAGUAGUAUGUUUCUCCAGAAGAAAGGUCUUUCUUUUUAUUUUUGGCCGUUCCUUUGUCAUAUUUUCUCCGCGUUCCUAGGCGGCGCCGUCGAAGGAGCUAUGGGCGGGCCGUACACGGAGGCGUUUGUUUUUUCAAAAGAAAGGUCUUUCUUUUUAUUUUUGGCCGUUCCUUUGUCAUAUUUUCUCCGCGUUCCUAGGCGGCGCCGUCGAAGGAGCUAUGGGCGGGCCGUACACGGAGGCGCGGGCAUAAAGGGGAGGAGAACGCACGGUAUGUCGGAUGCGAUCAUACCAGCACUAAAGCACCGGAUCCCAUCAGAACUCCGAAGUUAAGCGUGCUUGGGCGAGAGUAGUACUAGGAUGGGUGACCUCCUGGGAAGUCCUCGUGUUGCAUUCCUUUUUGUUGUUCUGUAUUUUCAAAAGAAAGGUCUUUCUUUUUAUUUUUGGCCGUUCCUUUGUCAUAUUUUCUCCGCGUUCCUAAGCGGCGCCGUCUUAAUGAGCUAUGGGCGGGCCGUACACGGAGGCGUUUGUUUUUUCAAAAGAAAGGUCUUUCUUUUUAUUUUUGGCCGUUCCUUUGUCAUAUUUUCUCCGCGUUCAUAAGCAGCGCCGUCGAAGGAGCUAUGGGCGGGCCGUACACGGAGGCGCGGGCAUAAAGGGGAGGAGAACGCACGGUAUGUCGGAUGCGAUCAUACCAGCACUAAAGCACGGGAUCCCAUCAGAACUCCGAAGUUAAGCGUGCUUGGGCGAGAGUAGUACUAGGAUGGGUGACCUCCUGGGAAGUCCUCGUGUUGCAUUCCUUUUUUUUGUUUGUUUUUUCAAAAGAAAGGUCUUUCUUUUUAUUUUUGGCCGUUCCUUUGUCAUAUUUUCUCCGCGUUCCUAGGCGGCGCCGUCGAAGGAGCUAUGGGCGGGCCGUACACGGAGGCGUUUGUUUUUUCAAAAGAAAGGUCUUUCUUUUUAUUUUUGGCCGUUCCUUUGUCAUAUUUUCUCCGCGUUCCUAGGCGGCGCCGUCGAAGGAGCUAUGGGCGGGCCGUACACGGAGGCGCGGGCAUAAAGGGGAGGAGAACGCACGGUAUGUCGGAUGCGAUCAUACCAGCACUAAAGCAGCGGAUCCCAUCAGAACUCCGAAGUUAAGCGUGCUUGGGCGAGAGUAGUACUAGGAUGGGUGACCUCCUGGGAAGUCCUCGUGUUGCAUUCCUUUUUUUUGUUUGUUUUUUCAAAAGAAAGGUCUUUCUUUUUAUUUUUGGCCGUUCCUUUGUCAUAUUUUCUCCGCGUUCCUAGGCGGCGCCGUCGAAGGAGCUAUGGGCGGGCCGUACACGGAGGCGCGGGCAUAAAGGGGAGGAGAACGCACGGUAUGUCGGAUGCGAUCAUACCAGCACUAAAGCACCGGAUCCCAUCAGAACUCCGAAGUUAAGCGUGCUUGGGCGAGAGUAGUACUAGGAUGGGUGACCUCCUGGGAAGUCCUCGUGUUGCAUUCCUUUUUUUUGUUUGUUUUUUCAAAAGAAAGGUCUUUCUUUUUAUUUUUGGCCGUUCCUUUGUCAUAUUUUCUCCGCGUUCCUAGGCGGCGCCGUCGAAGGAGCUAUGGGCGGGCCGUACACGGAUGCGUUUGUUUUUUCGGGAGAAAGGUCUUACUUUUGAUUUAUGGGCGUUCCUUUGUCAUAUUUUCUCCGCUUUCCUAGGCGGUCGCCGUCUAAGGAGCUAUGGGCGGGCCGUACACUGAGGCGCGUGCCUUCCGGGGAGGAGAACGCAUGGUAUGUCGGAUGCGAUCAUGCCAGCACUAAAGCACCGGAUCCCAUCAGAACUCCGAACUUAAGCGUGCUUGGGCGAGAGUAGUACUCAGGAUGGGUGACCUCCUGGGAAGUCCUCGUGUUGCCUUCCUUUUAUGCGCAUGCCUUUUCCGGAGACGGGUCUCUCUUCAGAUCUAUGGCCGUUCCUUUGUCAUAUGUUCUCCGCGUUCCUAGGCGGCGCCGUCGAAGGAGCUAUGGGCGGGCCGUACACGGAGGCGCGGGCAUAAAGGGGAGGAGAACGCACGGUAUGUCGGAUGCGAUCAUACCAGCACUAAAGCACCGGAUCCCAUCAGAACUCCGAAGUUAAGCGUGCUUGGGCGAGAGUAGUACUAGGAUGGGUGAC
RNAcentral lists this long non-coding RNA (2153 nucleotides) under Sorghum bicolor (sorghum). The record is from RNAcentral. Lineage: Eukaryota; Viridiplantae; Streptophyta; Magnoliopsida; Poales; Poaceae.